GAUGAACGCUGGCGGCGUGCCUAAUACAUGCAAGUCGAGCGAACGGACGAGGAGCUUGCUCCUUUGACGUUAGCGGCGGACGGGUGAGUAACACGUGGAUAACCUACCUAUAAGACUGGGAUAACUUCGGGAAACCGGAGCUAAUACCGGAUAAUAUAUUGAACCGCAUGGUUCAAUAGUGAAAGACGGUUUUGCUGUCACUUAUAGAUGGAUCCGCGCCGCAUUAGCUAGUUGGUAAGGUAACGGCUUACCAAGGCAACGAUGCGUAGCCGACCUGAGAGGGUGAUCGGCCACACUGGAACUGAGACACGGUCCAGACUCCUACGGGAGGCAGCAGUAGGGAAUCUUCCGCAAUGGGCGAAAGCCUGACGGAGCAACGCCGCGUGAGUGAUGAAGGUCUUCGGAUCGUAAAACUCUGUUAUUAGGGAAGAACAAAUGUGCAAGUAACUAUGCACGUCUUGACGGUACCUAAUCAGAAAGCCACGGCUAACUACGUG
This 497-nucleotide ribosomal RNA is filed under the name uncultured bacterium. Its description in RNAcentral is "partial 16S ribosomal RNA". It matches the Rfam family "Bacterial small subunit ribosomal RNA", at positions 28 to 507 of the family's 1533-position model. The record is from RNAcentral.